GACCUCAAAUCAGGUAGGAGUACCCGCUGAACUUAAGCAUAUCAAUAAGCGGAGGAAAAGAAAAUAACAAUGAUUCCCCCAGUAACUGCGAGUGAAGAGGGACAAGCUCAAAUUUUAAAUCUGUUGGGUUUACCUAACCGAGUUGUAAUUUGAAGAGGCGUUAUCUGUGUUUUUGAUCAGCCCAAGUCCUUUGGGAUAAGGCAUCAUGGAGGGUGAGAAUCCCGUCCGGUUGAUCAGAUUCGCUUACGAUACGUCAUCUAAGAGUCAAGUUGUUUGGGAUUGCAGCUUAAAAUGGGAGGUAAAUUUCUCCUAAGGCUAAAUAACGGCGAGAGACCGAUAGCGAACAAGUACCGUGAGGGAAAGAUGAAAAGAACUUUGAAAAGAGAGUUAAACAGUACGUGAAAUUGUUGAAAGGGAAACGAUUGAAGCCAGUCAUACCGGCGGGUAAUCAGCCUUUCGGGUGCGAUUCUGUGGAGUGUGAGGAGUUAAACGCCUUCAUGCCUGCAUAUUCGUGCACCUUGGGUGUACUUGCCCGUGUGGUAAGUUAACAUCAAUUUUGAUCGUCAUAAAAUGGCUGGUGGAAUGUAGCUUCGGUCUCGUACUGAAGUGUUAUAGCCUCCGGUAGAUGUGAUGAUCGGGAUUGAGGAUUGCAACGGAUACCCUUCGGGGCUACCCGCCUGAUCUCUGAAAGUUGCUCUGGUGUCGAAAGCGUGCUUACGGUCAUCAAAGUUGACGUUCAAUAGGUUAGAACGGGUUAAAUUCGUUAAGGAUGUUGACGUAAUGGCUUUAAACGACCCGUCUUGAAACACGGACCAAGGAGUCUAACAUAUAUGCGAGUGUUUGGGUGAAUAAACCCUUACGCGUAAUGAAAGUAAUUUUGGUGGGAACAUUUUUGUACACCAUCGACCGAUCAGGAUAUUUUUUGAUAGAUUUGAGUAAGAGC
Molecule: ribosomal RNA, 943 nt
Filed under: Rhizophagus prolifer
Lineage: Eukaryota; Fungi; Glomeromycota; Glomeromycetes; Glomerales; Glomeraceae
Description: partial 28S ribosomal RNA
Rfam family: Eukaryotic large subunit ribosomal RNA
Source: RNAcentral